RNAcentral lists this ribosomal RNA (423 nucleotides) under uncultured bacterium. RNAcentral describes it as "bacterial SSU rRNA". It matches the Rfam family "Bacterial small subunit ribosomal RNA", at positions 207 to 622 of the family's 1533-position model. The record is from RNAcentral.
AAGACCUUGCGCUUUUGGAGCGGCCGAUGUCUGAUUAGCUAGUUGGUGGGGUAAUGGCCUACCAAAGCUUCGAUCAGUAGCUGGUCUGAGAGGACGACCAGCCACACUGGGACUGAGACACGGCCCAGACUCCUACGGGAGGCAGCAGUGGGGAAUUUUGGACAAUGGGCGCAAGCCUGAUCCAGCCAUGCCGCGUGAGUGAAGAAGGCCUUCGGGUUGUAAUGCUCUUUCAGCCGGGAAGAAAAGGCUACGACGAAUAAUCGUAGCUCAUGACGGUACCGGAAGAAGAAGCACCGGCUAACUACGUGCCAGCAGCCGCGGUAAUACGUAGGGUGCGAGCGUUAAUCGGAAUUACUGGGCGUAAAGGGUGCGCAGGCGGUUUUGUAAGUCAGAUGUGAAAUCCCCGGGCUUAACCUGGGAACU